UACGUAGGUGGCAAGCGUUGUCCGGAAUUACUGGGCGUAAAGGGCGUGUAGGCGGCCUUUUAAGUCAGACGUGAAAUAUCAGGGCUUAACCCUGAGGCUGCGUUUGAGACUGGAAGGCUUGAGGAUCGGAGAGGGCAGUGGAAUUCCCAGUGUAGCGGUGAAAUGCGUAGAUAUUGGGAGGAACACCAGUGGCGAAGGCGGCUGCCUGGACGACACCUGACGCUGAGGCGCGAAAGCUAGGGGAG
RNAcentral lists this ribosomal RNA (245 nucleotides) under uncultured bacterium. Its description in RNAcentral is "partial 16S ribosomal RNA". It matches the Rfam family "Bacterial small subunit ribosomal RNA", at positions 524 to 768 of the family's 1533-position model. The record is from RNAcentral.